ACUUGUGCUCUUCCGAUCUGGAAAAGGUAAAAAGUUCAACUCUGAUGAAGACAUCUUACUUCAUCCCGACGACCACCCGGACGACCAGAGAGUGAUACGCAAGCGCAGAAGGACUGAUAAGAUAAUUAGCAUAUGAAGCGGGGCUAGGCUGAGCUAGGAAAUGAAUAUGCAUAGAUGUGUUGUAAAACUUAAUGCAUUUGUAAUAUUUUAGGAGA
Molecule: long non-coding RNA, 215 nt
Organism: Cygnus olor (mute swan)
Lineage: Eukaryota; Metazoa; Chordata; Aves; Anseriformes; Anatidae
Exons: 4
Source: RefSeq, a predicted model, not a curated record